This 253-nucleotide ribosomal RNA is filed under the name uncultured Ohtaekwangia sp. RNAcentral's name for it is "partial 16S ribosomal RNA". It matches the Rfam family "Bacterial small subunit ribosomal RNA", at positions 524 to 776 of the family's 1533-position model. The record is from RNAcentral. Lineage: Bacteria; Pseudomonadati; Bacteroidota; Cytophagia; Cytophagales; Fulvivirgaceae.
UACGUAGGUGGCAAGCGUUGUCCGGAUAUAUUGGGUUUAAAGGGUGCGUAGGCGGCCAUGUAAGUCAGUUGUGAAAUACCCCGGCUCAACCGGGGGGGUGCGAUUGAUACUGCGUGGCUUGAGUGGCAGCGAGGUUGGCGGAAUUGACGGUGUAGCGGUGAAAUGCAUAGAUAUCGUCAAGAACACCGAUAGCGAAGGCAGCCAACUAGGGGCCAACUGACGCUGAGGCACGAAAGUGCGGGGAUCAAACAGG